GAUGAACGCUGGCGGCGUGCCUAAUACAUGCAAGUCGAGCGAAUGGAUUAAGAGCUUGCUCUUAUGAAGUUAGCGGUGGACGGGUGAGUAACACGUGGGUAACCUGCCCAUAAGACUGGGAUAACUCCGGGAAACCGGGGCUAAUACCGGAUAACAUUUUGAACCGCAUGGUUCGAAAUUGAAAGGCGGCUUCGGCUGUCACUUAUGGAUGGCCCCGCGUCGCAUUAGCUAGUUGGUGAGGUAACGGCUCACCAAGGCAACGAUGCGUAGCCGACCUGAGAGGGUGAUCGGCCACACUGGGACUGAGACACGGCCCAGACUCCUACGGGAGGCAGCAGUAGGGAAUCUUCCGCAAUGGACGAAAGUCUGACGGAGCAACGCCGCGUGAGUGAUGAAGGCUUUCGGGUCGUAAAACUCUGUUGUUAGGGAAGAACAGGUGCUAGUUGAAUAAGCUGGCACCUUGACGGUACCUAACCAGAAAGCCACGGCUAACUACGUGCCAGCCGCCGCAGUAA
Molecule: ribosomal RNA, 515 nt
Filed under: uncultured bacterium
Lineage: Bacteria
Description: partial 16S ribosomal RNA
Rfam family: Bacterial small subunit ribosomal RNA
Source: RNAcentral